Molecule: long non-coding RNA, 877 nt
Organism: Lolium perenne
Lineage: Eukaryota; Viridiplantae; Streptophyta; Magnoliopsida; Poales; Poaceae
Source: RefSeq, a predicted model, not a curated record
AUAUACAGCUGAGUUUGAAGAAAAUAUGGAAAUUUUGUCACAAGAAGGAAGUGGUGAGGAGGUUGCUUUGGCUGAUAGUUCUCUCUCGGAUUGGCAGGCGCAUAUAAAGCUUAAGGUAGCUAGAUGCCGCAAUGAGCUGCAACAGUACGUUGAAGAAGGGUUCCAUCCUUGUACACCAGAUUUCAACAUCCUUAAGUGGUGGGAUGUGAACUCGGAAAGGUAUCCAAUCCUUGGCAACAUGGCUCGUGAUGUGCUAGCUGUACCAGCUUCAACGGUUGCCUCAGAAUCUGCGUUCAGCGCAUGUGGGAGAGUAAUUACAGAUCACAGAAGUAGCCUAGCACCUGAAACUGUUGAGGCAUUGAUGUGUUAUGGUGAUUGGAUUAGAUCUCGUAAACCUACAAAUGCUGGACAGGAAAACCGCUGUGAAGAACAAAGAGUAGUGGAUCAUCUUGUCUCUGGUACCUGAUGUGCCAUAUGUUAACUGAUAUGUACCUGAGAGGGUUGGAGUGAUUUCUAUUUGGGCCGCCUCUUCAGAAGUACUGGGCAGAGAAGCAGCAGCAAGAUUAGGCAACAAAAGAAGCCCAAACUGAGCUUGCCUCUGAACUUGCCUCUGAACUUGCCUCUGAACUUGCUUCGCCUGGUCGAAUCAGUAGAGCCUUAUGGUCCAUGUAGACCGCCUUCAUCUGCCUGUCUUUUAUUGCUUUUCUCUAGCUUAACAUAUAUCAGUAUAAUUGUGAUGCAACUGAGUUCCAUUGUUUGAGAGGCAUUCUCCUUUUAAAAGAGAUGCUCAUGUGUUUGAGAGGCAUUCUCCUGUCAUUUCUGUUUGUGUUGUUUUGAGAUACUCUGAAUUUAAUGGGACAUUUUCCUGUCAUUUCCA